CCUUCUGCAGAAAGUUCAGAAUAAUGUGAGAGAGACUAUAGUUUUCUGUGUAGAAGUUGACACACUAGAGCGCACAAACAAUCACAAUAAUCAAACUUUGAUGAAACUCCUGGAGAAAAUCUUGUUCCUCUCACUGUGGAAAUGUAAAAGAAGGAUUAUUGGUGCAGAGAGACAUCCAACAUCUGAACUUAUAUAAUAAUAAAAAGCAUGUGUUCAUCGAGGAAGAGAUGAGUAUCACUUCUUAGAAACACCACUUAUCUCGCUCAGUGACGCAGGCUGCGGCUGAGUCAGCUCGAGCCCCCCGACUUCAAAGAGUCUGGCUCUUUAACGAAAGAUUAAAUGUUUGAAAUCGUGGCUAAUAAUCAGCUUUAUUCCCUCGGUACAAAAUGUUCAUUCACAAUCUGUCUGUGUACACGCUGAUUUACUCAUCAUCACACAAUCUGUGAGAAUCAAGAGCCAAAAAAUUGAGGUCAGGCGCCGAGAAAACAGCUCUGUGCGUUUAAAGGUGAAGCUUACGGACAUUUCCUCCACGUCGAAAUCAAACUGUGGUGCGGCGAACGUCUUUAUCCGCCGUAUCUGACGCCUCCUCCACGCUCAGACGUGUCGGGCUGCAGGUUUACGGAUGAAGAGGUCGAGAAUGAGUCAAAGAUUGCUUGUCAAUAACACCUCUGACACUCAUCUGUUAGUGCCGAUGUUGUUUAAACGAGCCGAAUGAAAUCAUCAGUUUACACACGCAAACACAUAAACACAUUAAUUUUCCGAGGAGUUAAUGAGAGCUACUUUAACAUGAAAUUAAUGAAGGUAAACACACACCUGCAGAGAGCAAGGCUGCAACAAACACAAGCUCCAGCACACACAUAUACACACACACAAACACACACUGGGAGUCAUAAAGUGGCUUCUCUCUCUGACAGCGUUCGUGUCCUUUCCUUUUAUUUCCAACAUUAAAUUAAAAGCCUGCAAAGAAAAAGCACAAUGCUGCCUUCACUGGCUUGUCAUAAAAACAUUCAAACGCUCAGAAAUUGUUGCAUUUUCCUGGUUUUUUUUUCACCCUUUGAUGCCUCUGCACUCGGCGUCUAUCACCUCUUGUCUCCUCCUGCGCUCUCCAGACUCUCACUCUCACCUCUCAGCGACCCAUGCAAGCUUUUCUAUUCUCGCCCACCAUCACAGCCGACUGGAGUAAAAAGAACAGGCUCUUUUCUCUCUUUUCUCUCUUUGGCUGCCUUUCCUCCUCUCUCUGUCUGCACGCCUCCGAAUAAUAUCCUCUGUUAUAAAAACAACACGUUUCUUUAUCAUAUCUGGAGCAUCAACUCUUGGGAAAACAUGUUUUUAUUUUACAGGAGGAGAUGUAAUCACAUGCAGAAAGGAAAAUCUGCAGCACGAGCACCGGAGGGAAAGGAAAAAUAGAGUUUCAAUUUUUUGAUUGUUAAAAUCAUGUGUAAGUCUUACCCUGCAUUAUUUCAACAUAUUUAACUGCAUAGAAACAGAGCUGUCAGUGUGAAUGAAUGAAUAGUGAUACUAUGUAUACUAGUAUACUGUGUUAGAAAAUUCCAAUUUUAGCGCAAAAAAACCCUC
Molecule: long non-coding RNA, 1575 nt
Filed under: Xyrichtys novacula (pearly razorfish)
Lineage: Eukaryota; Metazoa; Chordata; Actinopteri; Labriformes; Labridae
Source: RNAcentral